AUGGAGUGGAACAGGGCUUUGCGUGAGUGCACCUCCGUCCACGUGGGGCAGGCCCGUGUGCAGAAUGGCAAUGCCUGCCGGGAGCUCUGCUGUCUGGAACAUGGGACACAGCCAGAUGGGCAGGUGCCCAGUGACAAGACCAUUGGUGGAAGGGCGACUCCUUCAACACCUUCUUCUGUGAACCUGGUGCUGGCAAGCAUGUGCCCUGGCAGUGUUCAUGGAUCUGGAGCCCACCGUGAUUGAUGAGGUUCGGACAGGUAUGUACCACCAGCUCUUUUACCAGUGCAGGGUAUCAAAGGCAAGGAAGCUGCUGCCAAUAGCUACCCCCAAGGCCACUGUACCUUAGGGAAGGGGCUCAUUGACUUGGCGCUUGACCGCAUUCGGAAGCUGUGCACAGGGCUCCAGGGCUUCCUGGUCUUCCACAGCUUUGGGGGCGGCACCGGCUCUGGCUUCACCUCGCUCCUCAUGGAGCGGCUCUCUGUUGACUAUGGCAAGAAGUCCAAGCUGGAGUUCUCCAUCUACCCAGCCCCCCAGGUGUCCACAGCCGUGGUGGAGCCCUACAACUCCAUCCUGACCACGCACACCACCCUGGAGCACUCAGACUGCGCCUUCAUGGUGGACAACGAGGCCAUCUAUGACAUCUGCCGCCGCAACCUGGACAUCGAGCGCCCGACCUACACCAACCUCAACCGCCUCAUCAGCCAGAUCGUCUCGUCCAUCACAGCUUCCCUGCGCUUCGACGGGGCCCUCAACGUGGACCUGACUGAGUUCCAGACCAACCUGGUGCCCUACCCUCGCAUCCACUUCCCCCUGGCCACCUAUGCCCCCGUCAUCUCUGCAGAGAAGGCCUAUCACGAGCAGCUGUCGGUGGCGGAGAUCACCAACGCCUGCUUCGAGCCGGCCAACCAGAUGGUGAAGUGCGACCCCCGCCACGGCAAGUACAUGGCCUGCUGCCUGCUGUACCGCGGAGACGUGGUGCCCAAGGAUGUCAACGCCGCCAUCGUGGCCAUCAAGACCAAGCGUAGUAUUCAGUUCGUGGACUGGUGCCCCACGGGUUUCAAAGUCGGCAUCAACUACCAGCCCCCCACCGUGGUGCCCGGGGGCGACCUGGCCAAGGUGCAGCGGGCCGUGUGCAUGCUGAGCAACACCACCGCCAUCGCCGAGGCCUGGGCCCGCCUGGACCACAAGUUCGACCUGAUGUACGCCAAGAGGGCGUUUGUGCACUGGUACGUGGGGGAGGGCAUGGAGGAGGGCGAGUUCUCUGAGGCCCGGGAGGAUAUGGCCGCCCUGGAGAAGGAUUAUGAGAGGUCGGAGCCGGAGCCAACCGCGUCGCCCAGGUUCCCUGCCGGGGUGACGUCGUCCUGGUGCAAGCCCGAAAUAGCCCGCCCCGCCCCAUCUCCCGGCAGCCCCUGCAGCAACACCACCCCCACCCCUCGAGUGACAGGCCGAACCGGCCUCUUCGGGGUGUCUAGUAGUUUCCGUGCAGCUGACGCACGCUUGCGCGCGCACAGCUGCCCGACCGCGUCCUACGCAGCAACCGCGAGCCCGCAGCCGGUGCCAGACGGUUCCCCGCGGGGGGCCGGGGCGGGGCGCUGCCGGAGCCAGGGACUCCGAGCGGAGGAGGUGCGGGUGGGGGACCCCCGGCCAGGUGGGGCGACCCUGGGCCGGACUGCUGGUGUUAGAGGACCCCAUAGGGCUUCGGGCCUGGAAGGCGAGAGAUAG
RNA transcript from Condylura cristata (star-nosed mole), 1722 nucleotides. It is a transcript of the gene named tubulin alpha-8 chain-like, with no coding region annotated. The transcript has 5 exons. NCBI's taxonomy places the organism in Eukaryota, Metazoa, Chordata, Mammalia, Eulipotyphla, Talpidae. The record is from RefSeq and is a predicted model, not a curated record.